RNAcentral lists this ribosomal RNA (282 nucleotides) under Triticum aestivum (bread wheat). RNAcentral describes it as "partial small subunit ribosomal RNA". Lineage: Eukaryota; Viridiplantae; Streptophyta; Magnoliopsida; Poales; Poaceae. The record is from RNAcentral.
AUGUGUCUAUUGAGAAAGUCUUGUCCACCGGGAUCAAGUUUUUUGUGUGCGAGCAAUUUGUUGUGGAUAUCAUCGAACUUCAGUACUUGCCCUGAGGAUGCUAAUGAGGACACGGUGAAGACAUAUGCUCGUGUCUACAUGUGGUACGUGAUAUCCAGGACUAUGUUUGCUGAUGGCACAGGCAAGAAUGCUCCAUGGAUGUGGCUGAAGGCGUUGACCGUCUUCGAUAGAAAAUGGAGUUGGGGUUCAGCGACACUGGCUUACUUGUAUCGACAAGUAUGA